GAGACAGCAGCCGCCACGGGAAUACGGAGGGUGCAAGCGUUAAUCGGAAUUACUGGGCGUAAAGCGCACGCAGGCGGUCUGUCAAGUCGGAUGUGAAAUCCCCGGGCUCAACCUGGGAACUGCAUUCGAAACUGGCAGGCUAGAGUCUUGUAGAGGGGGGUAGAAUUCCAGGUGUAGCGGUGAAAUGCGUAGAGAUCUGGAGGAAUACCGGUGGCGAAGGCGGCCCCCUGGACAAAGACUGACGCUCAGGUGCGAAAGCGUGGGGAGCAAACAGGAUUAGAUACCCGCGUAGUCCCUGUCUCUUAUAC
This 308-nucleotide ribosomal RNA is filed under the name uncultured bacterium. RNAcentral describes it as "partial 16S ribosomal RNA". It matches the Rfam family "Bacterial small subunit ribosomal RNA", at positions 505 to 807 of the family's 1533-position model. The record is from RNAcentral.